GUAGUUAUUACAUUACUUUCCGCCAGAGAACUACAAGUGAAAAACUUGAAACUCAAAGGACUUGACGGUGUCCCAUAUCGACCUAGAGGAGCCUGUCCUAUAAUCGAUACCCCCCGUUCCACCCAACCUCAACUAGCAAAAUAUCAGCCUAUAUACCGCCGUCGACAGUCUACCCCAUGAGGGCUCAACAGUAGACACAACAGCCUUAACGCUAAUACGUCAGGUCAAGGUGUAGCAAAUGUUGAGGAAAAGAUUGGCUACAUUUUUUAUGAUAAAAAACACGAAUUGCACUAUGAAACACUGCAUGAAGGUGAAUUUAGUAGUAAAACAGACAAGAGUGUCUGUUUUAACAACGCUCUGGGACGCGU
Molecule: ribosomal RNA, 368 nt
Filed under: Podarcis tiliguerta
Lineage: Eukaryota; Metazoa; Chordata; Lepidosauria; Squamata; Lacertidae
Description: 12S ribosomal RNA
Rfam family: Bacterial small subunit ribosomal RNA
Source: RNAcentral